GGUAAUUUUUAUUUUUCUAUUAUUCUCCGAUUAACGUGGGAAUUUCUAGGUCUUGAGAGCGAAUGUGGAGGCUCCGUUUGUUGGCCAUGUAAUAAGAUAAUAAAUUAAGGGAUUACCGGAGUGGCUUUAACAGUUCUUACCCUUUUUUAUUCUGCGAAAAAUGUAGUGGGGGUCACAGAAAACGUGAGAGGAGUAGAGAUGGCAGUUAGCUGGGCCGGCUGGUUCACCCAGGCGGACUGUCCUGGGCCGAGCCACCUUUGCUGAGGACCUGGUUCAGCCCAGAUGCGAGUCAGGUCGGGAAACUCGACACACACAGAUUUAGCUGAUUUGCCAUUCCUGUGUACUAAAAGCAAAACUGGAAGAAGAGACGUCGUGCUGGGAUAUUCAGACACUACCGGAAACGGCUUGUUUGCCGUGUGCCUCGCAAUUUGCCGUAGUGAGAGAUUUAUAUAUACACAGCAGACGUUAACUGGAUUGCGUUCUGUAUUGUAUUAUUCAGAUCGAUCUUGUACUGAAUAAGGUUGUGAUGGUUACUUCUGGCUUCGCGAGUCCAGUCAUCAGUCAUACUUUGAGCCUGUGUCUCUAUUAUGACUGAAACUUGUCUAUGCAUUUCUCACCAUUUCAUAUUGUCAGAUAUGAGAAUAUAUGCGGUUGAGUAAUACUAUGGGACGGGUCUUCCCUGCAGUUAGCCCUAGUCACUGAUGUGUGGACCCGGCCCAGUGACCCAACUACAGAGGAACCACUUCCAAUACUAUGAUGCAUGCGUCUUCUGUCUGCUGCAUGUGCCUGAUGAUAGCUGAUUUUACAAAUCUGAUAUGCUUGUAUUGGUGCACAUGGUAUGGGCAAAUGCAUGUGUUGGCUUUUGCCCUGCUGGAAUGGACCCAUUUCUUUCCAUUUACAGGUUGAGACUUGGCAGUGUAACUUAGAGUAAUGUGGGAGGUGCUGAUGUAGGUUAUGGUGGCUACCUACAAUUGGCGACUUCAUCGGCUUCCCUUUGAGUCUGUUGACUGUUCAGGCUGAGUGCAGGUAACAAAUCAAGGUCCAAGCAUUCUAUCCGCUCUGUCUUAGCUUGAUCGUAUCACAGCCCAUAGAUAAGAUAUGAUUCUGUAAGUUUUGCCCCUAGACAUAUCAAAAGUAGGACCCUGAUUGAUCACCUAGGUGUCUUUUGACUCUUUUCAGACUUGUAAAUUAACGAAUUAACUUGAGUUUUGGUAAAGUGUGGCAAUUUUUAAGCAGCAAAUCAAAUGCACCCCAGCCCAUCUAGUCCUGGAGUCAUGUUUGCUGUAACCUUUGUUUAGCUCCAUUGCAAUCUGGUUGUGGCGAGUUCUUGUUGAUCAUGCUAUUUUGUGAUAGCCAUGGUAUUGCAUAGUUCUAUAUGAUCGUCUAUUUAUUUUUCUGGUAAUGGUAUUAUCUAGAUAAAAUUGUUGUAUCCACGUGAAUUUUCUUUUCCUUUUUUAUAUG
Panicum virgatum (switchgrass) is the source of this 1461-nucleotide RNA transcript. RefSeq lists it as uncharacterized. The transcript is spliced from 3 exons. NCBI's taxonomy places the organism in Eukaryota, Viridiplantae, Streptophyta, Magnoliopsida, Poales, Poaceae. The record is from RefSeq and is a predicted model, not a curated record.